This 378-nucleotide ribosomal RNA is filed under the name uncultured bacterium. RNAcentral's name for it is "bacterial SSU rRNA". It matches the Rfam family "Bacterial small subunit ribosomal RNA", at positions 28 to 429 of the family's 1533-position model. The record is from RNAcentral.
GAUGAACGCUGGCGGCGUGCCUAAUACAUGCAAGUCGAACGGAGGGUCGCAAGAUCCUUAGUGGCGAACGGGUGAGUAACGCGUUGGUACCUGCCCCAAAGCGGGGGAUACCGGACCGAAAGGUCCGCUAAUACCCCAUGUGCUCAGUGAUGAGGAAAGGUGAAAAUCACUUUGGGAGGGGCCUGCGUCCCAUCAGCUAGUUGGUAAGGUAACGGCUUACCAAGGCGAUGACGGGUAGGGGACCUGAGAGGGUGGCCCCCCACAAUGGAACUGAAACACGGUCCAUACACCUACGGGUGGCAGCAGUAGGGAAUAUUGGUAAUGGGCGAAAGCCUGAACCAGCAACGCCGCGUGUGCGAUGACGGCCUCGGUUGUAAG